CUACGGGAGGCAGCAGUGAGGAAUUUUGCGCAAUGGGGGGAACCCUGACGCAGCAACGCCGCGUGAGUGAUGAAGGCUUUCGGGUCGUAAAGCUCUGUCAAGUGGGAAGAACCUAUGCAGUGUUAAUAUCACUGUAUACUGACGGUACCACUGAAGGAAGCACCGGCUAACUCCGUGCCAGCAGCCGCGGUAAUACGGGGGGUGCAAGCGUUAUUCGGAAUCAUUGGGCGUAAAGGGCACGUAGGCGGCUUGGUAAGUCAGAUGUGAAAGCCCGGGGCUUAACCCCGGAAGUGCAUUUGAUACUGUCAGGCUUGAGUAUGGGAGAGGGAAGUGGAAUUCCUGGUGUAGAGGUGAAAUUCGUAGAUAUCAGGAGGAACACCGGUGGCGAAGGCGACUUCCUGGACCAAUACUGACGCUGAGGUGCGAAGGCGUGGGUAGCAAACAGGAUUAGAUACCCCGGUAGUC
Molecule: ribosomal RNA, 465 nt
Filed under: uncultured bacterium
Lineage: Bacteria
Description: partial 16S ribosomal RNA
Rfam family: Bacterial small subunit ribosomal RNA
Source: RNAcentral